UAUUGAAGCAUGAGUCAAUAUUCUAUUCUAUUCGUCUAUAGCCAUUCAAAUUAGGACUAGCUUCUUACCAAUCUUUGUUUUGCAUAGCAUCACUUUGACUAUUGAAUAUGGGCAAACUUUGUGACACAAUAGAUUAAUAUGAUAUGAUAGACAUAAAUAGACAAUCAAAUGGGUGGGAACCCAUUAAAGAUGCCUUUUUAGAGAUGAUUUUGUCUAUCUACCAUGAAAUAUCUUUAGGUUUUUCUAAAAGCAUAUCAAUACAGUUUAGAACCUAUGGAUGAUAAGAAACAUUUUUAUAAAGCUCAUCAUGUACCAACCUCUUUUUUCCUUGGAGUGAUUGACACUAUCUUGGUUAAUAUAAGCAGAGAUAGGUUUAUGGAUUAAUAGCUUUGCAAUUAGGAUUGAAAUUAAGUUUGUGCGAAAAAUUGAAGUUACAUGCUUUUUGAGUUUAUGUUUCUAUUAGAAGCAAGAAUAAUUGCUUAAGGGCUUCUUUGCUAUUCUUUUGAUAUAUAUAUUGGAAACUGGCUUAUGUAUUUGCUCUCUCCUUGAUCAGCUAUUGAUUUUUUGCUUUCUUUUACUUGUGUUCUAUGAAAUUUUCCCUGCUGAAACAUAUGGAACACCAAACAUUUGCAGAAAAAGGAAUUUGAAAUGAAGGAGGGAGCAGCGAGCUAAGAAGAAGCAAAUGGAGGAAGAAGUUUCUCAACUUUCCGCUAAGCUUAAGGAGAAACAUACCAAAGAGCUGGUUGUAUAAGGCUAUAGCUGCAAUGAAAGAUGGGAGCUCUUCCCCUUGAUUUUAUAAUGAUGAUAGCAAUGUCUUGCAUUCUUCCUCUUGCUGAAUCCGCACUACUCUUCAAGAGGCUUUGUGUACUACCAAAUGAGAUACAUCUCUAUUGAUGAUUGUAUGUGAAUUUUCUUGGAAGAUUGAGAUUCUUCAAGUCAGGUGCAGUAACAUGUGGAGUUUAAUCUCCAAUAGACUGUUAGCACAUAACCUUAAAAAUUAAUCAUUUUUGGUUACUUAUUAAUUAUAUAGCAUUAAUUAUAGAGCAUUUACUACUCAUUGUAUAGGCUGAUGAGUGUGUUGUUUUUGUACUCACAUUGAUGGAAUUGAUAAGAUAACGAUGUCAAAAAACAAGGGUCAUGGACAUACACACAUAUUUAUUGGUUAUAGAAAAUGAACUUUGGUGAUGUAGGUCAUACUCUACUAAUAAAAUAAUCCAUCAAGAUUGCGAUUUGGAGAUCUAAGCCAAUUCAAUGGAUGUAUUGUUGUUUAAUAUGUUGACAAUUCCUUAUAUCUAUAAUUGUGCUAUUGUCUUCAUAUUGACAAAGAAUGUGAAACGAGUUCCUGUGGAUCUGGAUCAGGCUUAGAAGAGAAGUCUUUAAGUCAACUUUGCUUAGAAUUUCUGACUCUUCUAUUUCAUCUGUUGUUUAAUAUAUUUUUAAUAAUCAAGGUAUCAAUUG
Lotus japonicus is the source of this 1458-nucleotide long non-coding RNA. RefSeq lists it as uncharacterized. The record is from RefSeq and is a predicted model, not a curated record. NCBI's taxonomy places the organism in Eukaryota, Viridiplantae, Streptophyta, Magnoliopsida, Fabales, Fabaceae. The transcript is spliced from 4 exons.